CUUCCUCAGCUCUGGGACUGAUUGUCUUCAAGCUGAGCACACACUGAGCACUGGGCCUGCCUUCUUCCUAACACAGGUUUUUGUAAGCUCCAGACAUUGGAUAAAGCAUUUUGAGGGAUAGGUGAAAACGAAAUCCUGCCCUUUACUCUUGAGAACUCACUCUGCUGUGGGAGGAGAGACAGGCAGCCACCAGGUGCAAUCUCCAACAUGUGCGGGCUUUGGGAAAACACAAUCGGGCAAGUGAAGUUUGUUGCAGACAAGUUCUUCUUCCCCUCUGCCACAACCUCCUCCAAGGUUACAGGGAGAGCACCCUGUCUGUGAAGAAGCAGGUUCUCAUCUGAUACCAAAUCUGCUGGCACCUUGAUCUUGGACUUCCCAGACUCCAGGACUGAAGAUCACAGAUUGACAUCAGCAGGAAAACUUGCCAGGCAGCAGGAGGAUCCAUUUGAAAACUCACGAGAAAAAGGCCCUUGAGGCCUUUUUCCUGGUUAUUGAAGACAUCUUAGGAAACACUUAUGGUGACAAUUAAUCAAGCAAAAAUAGAUCCAGUUUUUCUGAAGAUCAAGCUUAACAUGUGUGCCAUGCUUUAAAAUGUCUUUCCAGGCACUCUCUCCUGCCCACGGAUCUUGCUUGGGAAAGGAAUGGGGCAAGUGGAAAUGGCCAUUUCUUAGAUGAACACAUCAGGGACUUGCUCCAGUCUGAAGUCUAUACAGAGCUAGGCUUUGAAUCCAGUCACGUAACUGUGUGUGUUCAGAGCUUGACGGAUUACCACCAGGCUGGGCCAACAGGGUCGUUUUCAAGUCAGCUAGCCCUAAAAGGGCAAAAAAUUGUUGCAAUGCUCCCAGAUGUAACUCUGACCUGGUAUGGUUCAGGGACGAGGCCACUCACACACACUUGGGCAACUGCUCUUCUCGUGACCAGCCUCUUUCUGUGGGAAUCACUCCAUGGAGCCACCGUCUCUCCCAAGCUACAAUGUUCUACAAUGGUGCAAGUGGGGGAAAAAUUUCAACAAAAUUUUG
This 1019-nucleotide long non-coding RNA is filed under the name Homo sapiens (human). RNAcentral's name for it is "HSALNT0265600". The record is from RNAcentral. Lineage: Eukaryota; Metazoa; Chordata; Mammalia; Primates; Hominidae.